This 996-nucleotide ribosomal RNA is filed under the name uncultured bacterium. RNAcentral describes it as "bacterial SSU rRNA". It matches the Rfam family "Bacterial small subunit ribosomal RNA", at positions 356 to 1376 of the family's 1533-position model. The record is from RNAcentral.
GGGGGAUAUUGCACAAUGGGGGAAACCCUGAUGCAGCGACGCCGCGUGGAGAAAGAAGGUUUUCGGAUUGUAAACUCCUGUCGUUAGGGACGAUAAUGACGGUACCUAACAAGAAAGCACCGGCUAACUACGUGCCAGCAGCCGCGGUAAAACGUAGGGUGCAAGCGUUGUCCGGAAUUACUGGGUGUAAAGGGAGCGCAGGCGGACCGGCAAGUUGGAAGUGAAAACUAUGGGCUCAACCCAUAAAUUGCUUUCAAAACUGCUGGCCUUGAGUAGUGCAGAGGUAGGUGGAAUUCCCGGUGUAGCGGUGGAAUGCGUAGAUAUCGGGAGGAACACCAGUGGCGAAGGCGACCUACUGGGCACCAACUGACGCUGAGGCUCGAAAGCAUGGGUAGCAAACAGGAUUAGAUACCCUGGUAGUCCAUGCCGUAAACGAUGAUUACUAGGUGUUGGAGGAUUGACCCCUUCAGUGCCGCAGUUAACACAAUAAGUAAUCCACCUGGGGAGUACGACCGCAAGGUUGAAACUCAAAGGAAUUGACGGGGGCCCGCACAAGCAGUGGAGUAUGUGGUUUAAUUCGAAGCAACGCGAAGAACCUUACCAGGUCUUGACAUCCGAUGAAUAGCUUAGAGAUAAGUGAAGUCCUUCGGGACAUCGAGACAGGUGGUGCAUGGUUGUCGUCAGCUCGUGUCGUGAGAUGUUGGGUUAAGUCCCGCAACGAGCGCAACCCUUAUUGCCAGUUACUACGAAAGAGGACUCUGGCGAGACUGCCGUUGACAAAACGGAGGAAGGUGGGGAUGACGUCAAAUCAUCAUGCCCUUUAUGACCUGGGCUACACACGUACUACAAUGGCGUUUAACAAAGAGAAGCAAGACCGCGAGGUGGAGCAAAACUCAAAAACAACGUCUCAGUUCAGAUUGCAGGCUGCAACUCGCCUGCAUGAAGUCGGAAUUGCUAGUAAUCGCGGAUCAGCAUGCCGCGGUGAAUACGUUCCCG